AUGCAGAAUCUGUAAAGCUCAGGAGGGAUAGCACCUUAUACUGAUCGUGCUCAUAUAUACUUGGCGCUAUCUAUCCUGAGCUUCAUGGCUUCUUCAU
Cajanus cajan (pigeon pea) is the source of this 97-nucleotide non-coding RNA. Lineage: Eukaryota; Viridiplantae; Streptophyta; Magnoliopsida; Fabales; Fabaceae. The record is from Rfam.